This 381-nucleotide ribosomal RNA is filed under the name Triticum aestivum (bread wheat). RNAcentral describes it as "partial small subunit ribosomal RNA". The record is from RNAcentral. Lineage: Eukaryota; Viridiplantae; Streptophyta; Magnoliopsida; Poales; Poaceae.
CGCGGUCGCGGAGGUGGACGAGGCGGGCGAGGGAACCAGAACUCCUCUGGCAGCGCCUCCCGCAAGAACGACAAGUGCCGCUACUGCAACAACCUGGGCCACUGGGCCCGGGAAUGCCGGAAGAAGAAGCGCGACGAGGAGGUGAACCUCGCCGAAGCUGACGAGGAAGAGCCAGGCCUCCUGAUGGUCCAGGCCUGCACCCUAGAUGAGGGUAGCACGGCAGGGCCGGAGCUGAAUCUGACUGCGCCCUGGUCAUCCCUCUCGACCGCGGCGGCGCAGGUAUUCCUCAACGAGGAGCGCGCGCGCGUGGAGCUGCAGCAGUCUCCUGGCGACACCGAUGCGGCCUGGUACCUCGACACCGGGGCGUCGAACCACAUGACC